GGUGAAAAGCACCCCGGAAGGGGAGUGAAAUAGAACCUGAAACCGUGUGCUUACAAGUAGUCAGAGCCCGUUAAUGGGUGAUGGCGUGCCUUUUGUAGAAUGAACCGGCGAGUUACGAUUUGAUGCAAGGUUAAGCAGUAAAUGUGGAGCCGUAGCGAAAGCGAGUCUGAAUAGGGCGUUUAGUAUUUGGUCGUAGACCCGAAACCAGGUGAUCUACCCUUGGUCAGGUUGAAGUUCAGGUAACACUGAAUGGAGGACCGAACCGACUUACGUUGAAAAGUGAGCGGAUGAACUGAGGGUAGCGGAGAAAUUCCAAUCGAACCUGGAGAUAGCUGGUUCUCUCCGAAAUAGCUUUAGGGCUAGCCUCAAGUGAUGAUUAUUGGAGGUAGAGCACUGUUUGGACGAGGGGCCCCUCUCGGGUUACCGAAUUCAGACAAACUCCGAAUGCCAAUUAAUUUAACUUGGGAGUCAGAACAUGGGUGAUAAGGUCCGUGUUCGAAAGGGAAACAGCCCAGACCACCAGCUAAGGUCCCAAAAUAUAUGUUAAGUGGAAAAGGAUGUGGCGUUGCCCAGACAACUAGGAUGUUGGCUUAGAAGCAGCCAUCAUUUAAAGAGUGCGUAAUAGCUCACUAGUCGAGUGACACUGCGCCGAAAAUGUACCGGGGCUAAACAUAUUACCGAAGCUGUGGAUUGUCCUUUGGACAAUGGUAGGAGAGCGUUCUAAGGGCGUUGAAGCAUGAUCGUAAGGACAUGUGGAGCGCUUAGAAGUGAGAAUGCCGGUGUGAGUAGCGAAAGACGGGUGAGAAUCCCGUCCACCGAUUGACUAAGGUUUCCAGAGGAAGGCUCGUCCGCUCUGGGUUAGUCGGGUCCUAAGCUGAGGCCGACAGGCGUAGGCGAUGGAUAACAGGUUGAUAUUCCUGUACCACCUAUAAUCGUUUUAAUCGAUGGGGGGACGCAGUAGGAUAGGCGAAGCGUGCGAUUGGAUUGCACGUCUAAGCAGUAAGGCUGAGUAUUAGGCAAAUCCGGUACUCAUUAAGGCUGAGCUGUGAUGGGGAGAAGACAUUGUGUCUUCGAGUCGUUGAUUUCACACUGCCGAGAAAAGCCUCUAGAUAGAAAAUAGGUGCCCGUACCGCAAACCGACACAGGUAGUCAAGAUGAGAAUUCUAAGGUGAGCGAGCGAACUCUCGUUAAGGAACUCGGCAAAAUGACCCCGUAACUUCGGGAGAAGGGGUGCUCUUUAGGGUUAACGCCCAGAAGAGCCGCAGUGAAUAGGCCCAAGCGACUGUUUAUCAAAAACACAGGUCUCUGCUAAACCGUAAGGUGAUGUAUAGGGGCUGACGCCUGCCCGGUGCUGGAAGGUUAAGAGGAGUGGUUAGCUUCUGCGAAGCUACGAAUCGAAGCCCCAGUAAACGGCGGCCGUAACUAUAACGGUCCUAAGGUAGCGAAAUUCCUUGUCGGGUAAGUUCCGACCCGCACGAAAGGCGUAACGAUUUGGGCACUGUCUCAACGAGAGACUCGGUGAAAUCAUAGUACCUGUGAAGAUGCAGGUUACCCGCGACAGGACGGAAAGACCCCGUGGAGCUUUACUGUAGCCUGAUAUUGAAAUUCGGCACAGCUUGUACAGGAUAGGUAGGAGCCUUUGAAACGUGAGCGCUAGCUUACGUGGAGGCGCUGGUGGGAUACUACCCUAG
This 1691-nucleotide ribosomal RNA is filed under the name Staphylococcus aureus. RNAcentral's name for it is "partial 23S ribosomal RNA". It matches the Rfam family "Bacterial large subunit ribosomal RNA", at positions 513 to 2208 of the family's 2925-position model. Lineage: Bacteria; Bacillati; Bacillota; Bacilli; Caryophanales; Staphylococcaceae. The record is from RNAcentral.